Molecule: ribosomal RNA, 486 nt
Filed under: uncultured bacterium
Lineage: Bacteria
Description: partial 16S ribosomal RNA
Rfam family: Bacterial small subunit ribosomal RNA
Source: RNAcentral
AUUGAACGCUGGCGGCAUGCCUUACACAUGCAAGUCGAACGGCAGCACGGGUGCUUGCACCUGGUGGCGAGUGGCGAACGGGUGAGUAAUACAUCGGAACAUGUCCUGUAGUGGGGGAUAGCCCGGCGAAAGCCGGAUUAAUACCGCAUACGAUCUACGGAUGAAAGCGGGGGACCUUCGGGCCUCGCGCUAUAGGGUUGGCCGAUGGCGGAUUAGCUAGUUGGUGGGGUAAAGGCCUACCAAGGCGACGAUCAGUAGCUGGUCUGAGAGGACGACCAGCCACACUGGGACUGGGACACGGCCCAGACUCCUACGGGAGGCAGCAGUGGGGAAUUUUGGACAAUAGGGGAAAGCCUGAUCCAGCAAUGCCGCGUGUGUGAAGAAGGCCUUCGGGUUGGAAAGCACUUUUGUCCGGAAAGAAAUCCUUGGCCCUAAUACGGUCGGGGGAUGACGGUACCGGAAGAAUAAGCACCGGCUAACUACGUG